Molecule: ribosomal RNA, 330 nt
Filed under: Enchytraeus crypticus
Lineage: Eukaryota; Metazoa; Annelida; Clitellata; Enchytraeida; Enchytraeidae
Description: eukaryotic LSU rRNA
Rfam family: Eukaryotic large subunit ribosomal RNA
Source: RNAcentral
AUUAAUAAGCGGAGGAAAAGAAACUAACAAGGAUUCCCUCAGUAACGGCGAGUGAAGCGGGAAGAGCCCAGCACCGAAUCCCCCGCUCAGACGGGUGGCGGGAACUGUGGUGUUAAGGACAGCCUAUGGGGAUCGUUCGGGAGUCCGAGUCCUCCUGAUCGGGGCUUCACCCAGAGCGGGUGUCAGGCCUCUACGGCGCCCGGCCGGUCCUCUCAGGUCGUCCUAGGAGUCGGGUUGUUUGAGAUUGCAGCCCAAAGCGGGUGGUAAACUCCAUCUAAGGCUAAAUACAGACACGAGUCCGAUAGCGCACAAGUACCGUGAGGGAAAGUU